RNAcentral lists this microRNA precursor (71 nucleotides) under Microtus ochrogaster (prairie vole). RNAcentral's name for it is "miRNA (ENSMOCG00000005611.1)". Lineage: Eukaryota; Metazoa; Chordata; Mammalia; Rodentia; Cricetidae. The record is from RNAcentral.
UCCUAAGAAUGAACUGGGCAUGGUGUUGAUCUGCUUUGAUACCAGCACUUGGGAGACAGAGGCAGGAGGAU